This 471-nucleotide ribosomal RNA is filed under the name uncultured bacterium. Its description in RNAcentral is "SSU rRNA". It matches the Rfam family "Bacterial small subunit ribosomal RNA", at positions 26 to 518 of the family's 1533-position model. The record is from RNAcentral.
AGGACGAACGCUGGCGGCGUGCUUAACACAUGCAAGUCGAACGGAAAGGCCCUUUGGGGUACUCGAGUGGCGAACGGGUGAGUAACACGUGAGCAACCUGCCCUUAGCUCCGGGAUAGCUCCGGGAAACCGGAAUUAAUACCUGAUACGACCACGGCCGACAUCUGCUGUGGUGGAAAGGAUUCCGGCUAAGGAUGGGCUCGCGGCCUAUCAGCUAGUUGGUGGAGUAACGGCCCACCAAGGCGACGACGGGUAGCCGGCCUGAGAGGGCGACCGGCCACACUGGGACUGAGACACGGCCCAGACUCCUACGGGAGGCAGCAGUGGGGAAUAUGCGCAAUGGGCGAAAGCCUGACGCAGCGACGCCGCGUGGGGGAUGAAGGCCUUCGGGUUGUAAACCCUUUCAGCAGGGACGAAGCGAAAGUGACGGUACCUGCAGAAGAAGCGCCGGCUAACACGUGCCAGCAGCCGC